This 393-nucleotide long non-coding RNA is filed under the name Hordeum vulgare. RNAcentral's name for it is "long non-coding RNA (HVUL_LNC001243)". Lineage: Eukaryota; Viridiplantae; Streptophyta; Magnoliopsida; Poales; Poaceae. The record is from RNAcentral.
UGUAUUUGAAAAACAUUAAUUUAGUCCUUCUUAACUACAAGUAUUUAGAUACGUACUACAAUAAACUAUCCAGUCACGUAGCUCAUGAAUUGAAUACACAUCGACAAUAAAACAGACUGCUCAAAGCCCAAGCACACGAUAAGAUCGAUCAGGGUGACACUUGCCUCACUUUGCUUUCCUGACUCCGCAAACAACGUUAUCUAGAUUGCGAAUCUCCGGUUUAAACAAAGGGCGACUUGUAUCACCCAUUCUUCAGCUCUCUUCCUCCUUGUUCUCAGAGCUAAGACAGCUGGUGCGUAUAUUAAAAAACACGGCAAUACUCUACUUCUACUAGAAAGCUAGGUAGCUUGAGCACAUCGAACGCAACGCAUGAAGGAGCGUUGAUUAUUUCUU